RNAcentral lists this long non-coding RNA (345 nucleotides) under Dasypus novemcinctus (nine-banded armadillo). RNAcentral's name for it is "lncRNA (ENSDNOG00000052028.1)". The record is from RNAcentral. Lineage: Eukaryota; Metazoa; Chordata; Mammalia; Cingulata; Dasypodidae.
CUGGAAAGUGGGGCAACGAAGGCUUAAAACCAAAGACAGCGCGUGUGGCGCCCUGUAUGCAGGCGGCGCUUAUGAAGCGCUAGUUCCCUUCUGCCCCCUUAGCCUCUCGCCUCCCCCCUCAGCAGCCUGGUGCUCCCGCGGCCUCCAUGUGCUGGGGGAGGUGGCGCUGACACUCUCUCCCCCCCCAGCUGCUGGCUCUCCCUGGAGGGGGGACUGCUGUACGCCUUCGUGGGACCCGCUGCUGCCGUCGUGCUGAUCCUCUUCGCCGUCUUCGACUCGCUGGAGGGCUUUGUCAUUGUCAUGGUGCACUGCAUCCUGCGGAGAGAGGUGGGCGGGCGAGGGCGC